This 172-nucleotide ribosomal RNA is filed under the name uncultured bacterium. RNAcentral's name for it is "partial 16S ribosomal RNA". It matches the Rfam family "Bacterial small subunit ribosomal RNA", at positions 118 to 290 of the family's 1533-position model. The record is from RNAcentral.
UGAGCAACCUGCCCUUGGCUUUGGGAUAACCCUUGGAAACGGGGGCUAAUACCGAAUGUUCACUGUUGGACGCAUGUUUGGUGGUGGAAAGUUUUUCGGCUGGGGAUGAGCUCGCGGCCUAUCAGCUUGUUGGUGUGGGUAAUGGCCCACCAAGGCGACGACGGGUAGCCGG